CCGACAGAGUACAUAAACCAUUUUAAUUUAAAUAAAGACAGUAAACAAUUGCCAGUAUAAGUGAGCUCCUUAGCCAUGUAAUCUAGAGUCUGGCUUGAACUAUGGUGCAAACUGCCUCUCCACAUAUUCUGAAACAAAGUAUCAUUAAUAAACUUUAGUAAAAUCCUAUCCGUCCAAAUUUAUCCGAUGACAAUAUGUAGCGAUUGGUUGUUAAUAUAGGUAAAAAAAGAAGUGGUUUGGCUAAGCCCUUAGCGGUGCCGGUCUACCUACAAAGAAGAUGCUGGAGCACUUGAGGCCGUUGUCCAUGUCGGCGUUCAAAGUUGGAAACUGGGUCAUGCAUUUUUGCCUUGGCAAGGAUAAGCAGGCCGGCCGCAAAGUCCAUGGCUAUGGCCACGUGCCUCGAUAGUUUAUGAAGAGUGACAUCGUCAUCUUACCUGCAAUGAAAAUAGAGUUACAUCAUAAUCUAUAUUAAAUAGGUCACCGCAGACAUAAUAAGUUCCAGAAAAAAUAAUACGAAUAGAUAAAAAAUAUAAAUGCCAAAAGUGCUCUUUGCGUGUUCCAUCAGAACAACAAUAUUGCAUUUGUUUAUUUUAGCAAGCCCAGCAGUAGUAGCAAGAUGUUCUGCAUAUAUAUAAUCCAUAAAUAAUUCUAGUAAAGCUGCUACUACUCAAUCACUACUUAAAAUUUGAGACAGUAAGAAAAUGAGAAGCAGAAGAAAAGCACAGAAAAAUUAAACGUGCAGAUUGGUUACUUGAAGGGUGUGACGUAUCUAGAAGUUUGUUGCUUAUGCAACAUUUCUAUUCUAAUUUAGAGGCUUUCUUGACUUCAAGGAGAAAUAACUCAAAACAUGGACUAAGGAAAGGCAUUUAUCUACAAUUACAACAUUACAGAAAUUAGUUUUUUUACCCGCAAAACAAUAUUACAGGAAUUUGCACAGCUUGUAUUUGUACAGAGGCACUAAUUCUGAAAGUUUCUAGCCAAUUCACAUGCAAGUAUCAAACCUCCGAAAUUCUAUCUGCAUAAUAGGCCAUAUUGAACCAUUUGGUUUUUGGAUUAUGUUGGCCAACUAAUGCAUAUUUGAGGUACUUGCAUCAAUAAAUAUUCAGUAAUUUGAUGCCAAAACAUUUGUCAGUGCCUUUUGAACUGUUAUGGUCAUACUGUUAUACUCCAAUGUCUAGGAUGUCCAUGUAUAAACAAUCUGAAUCUCAUACACUUAUAACCUCAUACCAGCCUGAGCAAUCAAUGGACAACAAGCAAACUAUUAGAUCAGUCAUACCAGUUGUUGCGUUGCUAGUGUGCUUCCUCGAUAUCAAAUUCGGAACAAUCCUCCCAAGCCUUAACCAGCAUGGAACACAACAGGUAAUUAAGUAAUCCAAUUUUGCCAAACACUCGGGUGCUGCAAAAGCUGUAGCUUCAACUACCGUCCAGAAAACAAGCACAACAGCAAGGCACAGAGCACCGUCAACUUGGGGUGCCGCAUCAUUAUGAGAGCCACAAUGAUUAGUGUCUGGUGCCAAAAUUUACCUAGCAAGGGAUGAACACACAUCAGUCAAUAAUAAGAACAUAAACAGUAUAUGCAUGCAUAUGCAGGAGAGAAAAAACACAAAAAUAAUCUCCCGGUUUCACCUAAAUUACAUGCAUUGGGUACAUUAAAUCUCCCCAAAUCCACAACCAACUCCCCAAAUCUAAUUUGAAACCUAGAGCAGAGCCGCAUCAGAUGCAACUGUACCCGGUAUCAUGUCACGCACCAUGGAGCCUCACGGCCACGGCUGCCCACGACCCUACCCCCUGCCGUGCCUCGUGCGGAACGGCGGACGCGCUGCUGAUCGCCUGAUUUCGGUGAAGUUUUCGGCCCUCGCGCCACCCUCCUUCCAUUACUUUGGCUCCCCUUCUCGUGCCUGCUGCCCGCCAUGGACGUCCCUUGGCUAGGCCGUGCCAUUCGACCCCAACCCCGCAAGGCCGUGACAGUGGCAGCUGCCACCGCUGCAGCUCGGCGGCGCGUGGAGGUGAUGGGUCGUGGCAGUUUGGGCGACGGGGGCGGCGGCGCGAUGGGGCAGAGGGCGGCGGCCCAUGCGGGAUUGGGGAAGAUGGAUGCGGG
Molecule: long non-coding RNA, 2098 nt
Filed under: Triticum aestivum (bread wheat)
Lineage: Eukaryota; Viridiplantae; Streptophyta; Magnoliopsida; Poales; Poaceae
Description: long non-coding RNA (TAES_LNC024026)
Source: RNAcentral